AUCCAUACCAGGAACAAGUGUGAUGUUAUAUAUGGCAAAGGCUUUGCAAACUGUGAGCCUUGGGAAAAAGUUAUUUUCUAUAAAUUGGGGAUUAUGGCCACUCACAAGAUCCCGGCCCUCAUCUCUGCUUCAGGAGGUCUCCUCUUUUGGCUGAUCUCACGGGGCCUUCCUCAUCUCCCUGAGAAAUCUCUCUUCUGGGAGUCUAGAACCAGGAUUGCCUCUUCCCAGAAUGUUAUCUCUAUCUGUCUCUGCUCCAGAAUAUGAGGCAAACACCUACUCAUCUCCCAAGGAUCAGCCAGGUAACACCUACUCUGGGGCCAUGGCUAAGGAAAUGACUGAGGAAAAAAAUGAGGAGAAUCCAGGAAUUCUCAGGAGACAAAGGACACUCUUCUUAGGUGGAUAAGCUUGCUCUGAAGAUCAACUUUGGAAAUGAUAGACUGGCUUCAGAGAACAGCCUUGGCAAUCUCCUGGCCCUGCAUCUCCUUCCCCCCUCAGUGCAUCCUGAGAAGCAGGGGAAUGGCCUGGAGUAAACUGAGACAACAGCU
Molecule: long non-coding RNA, 545 nt
Organism: Suricata suricatta (meerkat)
Lineage: Eukaryota; Metazoa; Chordata; Mammalia; Carnivora; Herpestidae
Exons: 4
Source: RefSeq, a predicted model, not a curated record